CCUUCGAUAGCUCAGUUGGAAGAGCGUGGGACUGUAAUCGGCUAUUUCCGAAAUCCCGAGGCCACCGGUUCGAUCCCGGUUUGAAGGA
This is a non-coding RNA of Pholiota conissans, 88 nucleotides long. Lineage: Eukaryota; Fungi; Basidiomycota; Agaricomycetes; Agaricales; Strophariaceae. The record is from the annotation of a GenBank genome assembly.